GAUGAACGCUAGCGGCAGGCUUAACACAUGCAAGUCGAGGGGCAGCGAGAGAGUAGCAAUACUUUUGUCGGCGACCGGCGGACGGGUGCGUAACGCGUAUGCAACCUACCUUAUACAGGGGGAUAACCUUUCGAAAGGGAGACUAAUACCGCAUAACAUUACUUUGAGGCAUCUUGAGGUAAUUAAAUCUUCGGAGGUAUAAGAUGGGCAUGCGUAGCAUUAGCUAGAUGGUGCGGUAACGGCGUACCAUGGCGACGAUGCUUAGGGGUUCUGAGAGGAAGGUCCCCCACACUGGUACUGAGAUACGGACCAGACUCCUACGGGAGGCAGCAGUGAGGAAUAUUGGUCAAUGGUCGGAAGACUGAACCAGCCAUGCCGCGUGCAGGAAGAANGUCUUAUGGAUUGUAAACUGCUUUUGUAU
Molecule: ribosomal RNA, 421 nt
Filed under: uncultured bacterium
Lineage: Bacteria
Description: bacterial SSU rRNA
Rfam family: Bacterial small subunit ribosomal RNA
Source: RNAcentral